Molecule: transfer RNA, 73 nt
Filed under: Lachnospiraceae bacterium
Lineage: Bacteria; Bacillati; Bacillota; Clostridia; Lachnospirales; Lachnospiraceae
Description: tRNA-Gln
Rfam family: tRNA
About the family: Transfer RNA (tRNA) molecules are approximately 80 nucleotides in length. Their secondary structure includes four short double-helical elements and three loops (D, anti-codon, and T loops).
Source: RNAcentral
AGCCCAGUAACUCAAUUGGUAGAGUAGCAGAUUCUGAUUCUGUAGGUUGUACGUUCAAAUCGUACCUGGGUUG